Molecule: ribosomal RNA, 2288 nt
Filed under: human gut metagenome
Description: bacterial LSU rRNA
Rfam family: Bacterial large subunit ribosomal RNA
Source: RNAcentral
AACCCGGUGAACUGAAACAUCUAAGUAGCCGGAGGAAGAGAAAUCAAACGAGAUGCCCACAGUAGCGGCGAGCGAAGAGGGCAGAGCCUAAACCAGUCAUCUUCGGAUGGUUGGGGUUACGGACCUGCAUCAACCGAGUCCUACCUAGUCGAAUUACCUGGAAAGGUAAGCCAGAGAGCGUAAGAGCCGCGUAGGUGAAAGGAAGGACGAGGGGGCAGGGAUCCAGAGUACCACGAAGCACGAGGAAUUUUGUGGGAAGUCGGGGGGACCACCCUCCAAGGCUAAACACUUCUUAGUGACCGAUAGCGCAUAGUACCGUGAGGGAAAGGUGAAAAGAACCGCGGGAGCGGAGUGAAAGAGAACCUGAAACCGUAUGUCUACAAGCAGUCGGAGCGCAAGCGACGGCGUGCCUAUUGAAGAAUGAGCCAACGAGUUACGGGCACCAGCGAGGUUAAGCAGGAAAUGCGGAGCCGGAGCGAAAGCGAGUCUAAACAGGGCGAAUAGUUGGUGUUCGUAGACCCGAAACUGUAGUGAUCUACCCAUGAUCAGGUUGAAGCGCAGGUAAAAAUGCGUGGAGGACCGAACCGGUGAGCGUUGAAAAGCUUUCGGAUGAAUCGUGGGUAGCGGUGAAAUUCCAAUCGAACGCAGAGAUAGCUGGUUCUCCUCGAAAUAGCUUUAGGGCUAGCCUCAAGCAGUAAGCAUAGGCGGUAGAGCACUGAUCGGGAUAGGGUCCGUAAAGGAUACCGAACUCUGUCAAACUACGAAUGGUUAUGCUGCAGAACUUGGGAGUCAGACUACGAGAGAUAAGUCCCGUUGUCAAAAGGGAAACAGCCCAGACCGUCAGCUAAGGUCCCCAAUGCCAUACUAAGUGGAAAAGGAUGUGGGGUCUCAUAAACAACCAGGAUGUUGGCUCAGAAGCAGCCACCAUUUAAAGAGUGCGUAAUAGCUCACUGGUCGAGAGGCCCUGCGCCGAAGAUUCCCGGGGCUAAAGUAUGGAACCGAAGCUACGGAUGCGGUACUUGUACCGCGUGGUAGAGGAGCGUUCCCAUUGGGUUGAAGUCGUCCUGGAAGGGACGGUGGACUGGUGGGAAGUGAGAAUGUUGGCAUGAGUAGCGAAAAGAUAGGUGAGAAUCCUAUCCACCGAAAGCAUAAGGAUUCCUGAGCAACGAUCGUCGUCUCAGGGUAAGUCGGGACCUAAUCCGAGGCAUGGAGCGUAGGAGAUGGACAACUGGUUGAUAUUCCAGUACCGGCAGCAAUCGUUUGAACGAUGGAGUGACGCAGGAAGGCAGGUCCGCGCGAGAAUGGUAGAUCGCGUACAAGCGUGCAGGCUGGUGCACAGGCAAAUCCGUGUACUGAGGCUGAGGCGUGAUGUGGAGGGAACUUGUUCCCGAAGGGAUUGAGCCUACGCUGCCGAGAAAAGCUUCUAGUGAGAAAGCUGCCGCCCGUACCGUAAACCGACACAGGUAUGCGGGGAGAGAAUCCUAAGGUGCGCGGGAGAACCCUCGUUAAGGAACUCGGCAAAAUGUACCCGUAACUUCGGGAUAAGGGUAGCCACAGUGGUGAAGGGACUUGCUCCUGGAGCCUAGUGUGGUCGCAGAGAAGAGGCCCAAGCGACUGUUAACCAGAAACACAGGUGCCUGCGAAAGAGAAAUCUGAUGUAUAGGUGCUGACACCUGCCCAGUGCUGGAAGGUUAAAGAAGGAUGUCCGGGUUCGACCCAAAGCAUUUGACUGAAGCCCCAGUGAACGGCGGCCGUAACUAUAACGGUCCUAAGGUAGCGAAAUUCCUUGUCGGGUAAGUUCCGACCCGCACGAAAGGUGUAACGAUUUGGGCACUGUCUCAACGAGGGACCCGGUGAAAUUGAAAUACCUGUGAAGAUGCAGGUUACCCGCGACUGGACAGAAAGACCCCAUGGAGCUUUACUGUAACCUAAUAUUGGGUUCUGAUAUUCGACGCACAGGAUAGGUGGGAGGCUUGGAGCAUGGUCCUCUGGGAUCAUGGGAGCCGCCGUUGGGAUACCACCCUUCGAAUAUCGGGAUUCUAACCGCAGGAGCAACGAUCCUCGGGACAGUGUUAGGCGGGCAGUUUGACUGGGGCGGUCGCCUCCUAAAGGGUAACGGAGGCGCCCAAAGGUUCCCUCAGCGCGGACGGAAACCGCGCGACGAGUGUAAAGGCAGAAGGGAGCUUGACUGCGAGCCAAACACGGCGAGCAGGUACGAAAGUAGGGCUUAGUGAUCCGGUGGCAUCCAAGUGGAAGGGCCAUCGCUCAACGGAUAAAAGCUACCCUGG